Molecule: long non-coding RNA, 4804 nt
Filed under: Amborella trichopoda
Lineage: Eukaryota; Viridiplantae; Streptophyta; Magnoliopsida; Amborellales; Amborellaceae
Description: long non-coding RNA (ATRI_LNC003985)
Source: RNAcentral
UUUGAAUUAUACAAAACCAUGGCACACAACCUACAUAGAGAAGAAAGCUAACCUUGUAAAUUUUCAGAUCCUAAAACACUGAAAUUCCAAGUGCUAUGUGUCUGCAACCUGAGAGAGUUUCUUAUGUAAGAGCCUAAUCACAACCAAUGUGUGGUUGCCAUAUUGGAGGAGCCUCUGUAAUUGAGAAGAAGAGACUUGCAUGCGUGAUAUUACGUCUCAUGUCACCAGAAUAAGGGCCCAUCAAGUGACUUGAGAGAUAGAAAAGCAUCGAAUUAGAACAAUUGUAGUAGCUACCAAAAUCACUAGAACAUGUGCUUUAGCGAUUUUACAUCUCAUAGCCAAGAGAAAACUAAGACUCUACUAGAAAUAAAUAAUACACCAUAAUUGUAGCAGGCUACAGGCUACUCUACAGUUUAAGUACACUCUGUCCGCAAAUGAAAUAUUUAUAUCUCCAGCUAUUUUUGUCAUUCUACGUUAAGAAGAAUGUUUGUUAUUGCAACCACAUAUGUCCAUAAUAACAAGGGUUCUACUCUUAAUGUAUUCAAUCAGCUUCACAACAUCUAAAAUGUCAAACAGAACAAAGCGCAAAUCAUGGGGCACCCCUGGUUCAGACAAUAAGCCCCUGGUCCGUAAUCAAAUUUCAACUAUGUUUUAUAAAUCUAGAAUAAGCUUCUUAAAAUAAAUCGAUCAAUGUAACUGGCUUUUGAAUCAUCCACAGUUUGUCUAUGUGCACAAUACGUCUGUACACACAUUUCAUAUUGGACCAAGGUGGAUCUAAAGCAAACUAAACCUGGUAUGUUAUUAUGGGCCAUAAGAAGGGGUAGAGGGCUUUCUUUUUCUUAUUUUACAGACUUGUAUAGUGCCCAUGUAUUGAGUCCCAUUAUCAAUCCCCACAUUGAGAAAAUUCAAACGCAUCACUGGCUAAAUGGACUGGGGUUAGCCAACGGAUUUUCUAUGUUAUAGGACAUUUACCGUGAGUUUAUGGAAUAAUCACACAUCCACUUAUGAUUUUGUGGGUGCUAGAGGGGGGACCAUUAAGAAUAAAGUACAGCUCAGAAUUGUAACUCGUGGAAUCAUAGAAUGGAAGAUUCUAUGUGGAGCUGAAGCCAAUAUACUCUCAGUAUACAUUGAAGAACCCGCUAUUAUUGAAGGCAACUAGUUAAAUGUAAUUUGAAGACUCAAUGGGAAAUUUCCUUGUGGAAGCCAAAGUUCACUUUUGUGUAAGUCACAAAGCUUUUAUCUAAUUGUUGCAUAGUUGAUGUCAUUCACGACCCUGAGAUAAGAUAGGGGUAUGAAAUACCAUACAAACGUUAACAAAAAUUAUUGGAGCGUGAGACCAAUUCGAGAUCAGAGAAGGGAUGUCGUGAGGCUGGUGAUCGCGUAACCCAUAUUUUUCUUGCCCUUUUAAGAGAGAAAAGAGGAGAUCUAUGUUUACAGAUGAAACUCUGUAUACCUUUUUUUCUUGCUCUAUUCUAUGAGGUCAUCUUCUAAAAAAUUUUCUAGCCUUUUUAUUUCUUCUUCAGUUGGUUUAUCACCAACUUCUGGUGGAUAUUCUCUUAGUACAUAUAUUAUUCUAUCUUGGAGAAGAUAUUUCAUCUUCCUCUUCAACAUCCCAAAAUUAUUUCCAUUCAAUUUUUCAACUUUAGAAAGUUCAGCCAUUACAAUUCUACUUGCCAUUUGCAAAGUUUUGUGUGAGUAAACUAAUUCUUUCUAAGUUCUAAAGAAGCUAAACAAGGCACCAAAAUAUGUGGUCAAUACUUUUACAGAGAGAGCUGCAAUUAUUUCAUAAACAAUGUCAGUUAUUAAUUGAUGCCUUAAAAAAAAAUUUAUGAAAUAGGCAAUCUUCAAAUUUGAAGUAACACUACAAUUAUCAAAGACAAUAUAAAAUUCCCCUUUAUAUUAUUUAUUUGGGGCGCAUGAGCAACAUCAAGUACGUGUGAGAAAUAUCAGCAGUAUAAAUGAACAAUCUCAGCAGGAGUAUUAUCAAACAUGAGCCUAAAAUUGGGCUUCUCUCAAAUCAGGCAAAAAAAAAAAAAAAGUUAACAUAUGGUAGAAUAAGAUUAAUACCUACCAAAUUGUCCACCAAAAGAAUAACCCAAUAUUAUUAUUAUUAUUAUUUUAUUUUUUAUUUUUUAUUUUUUUAUUUUUUUUUUACAGUGAGUCAAGCUAGUCUCACUCAGUCGAACAAGUGAUGAAAAAAAGACUAUAAUCCCAACCAGUGAUCUGAAUCAAUUACAAGAUUAUCAAGUACAUACAAUUUAUGUAACUUUCCUUUACAAAUUUGAUGACAACGCCAAAUCUAUAGCAGGAUUAAGUUGAAAUCUCAAUGAUUAUAUAAACAAUAAAUUAAAAUAUAUUUCCUAUCAAUCAGAUGUUAUAGAGCUUUGAUACUUAUCAAUGAACAGAACUGAAAAAUAUAUCUCCUAUAUAAGAUAUUACUCAUUUUGAAAGUGUAUAUGAGAUUUAACUCAUUUUGAAAGUACAAGGACUUCCUUGGGGGACAACGACAUCUCUUCUUCCUCUUCAGAAUCAGAAUCAUCUUAUUCCAGCGAAAACCAAUCAAAGGAGGAUGAAGGUGAGUAGGCUUCCUCCUCUAGAGCUCUGUCAUGUUUCGCUUCCCCCAUUUAGAGUUGCAAAUGCCGAUACCGAGGCGGCUUUGUACAGCCGCAUUUCACGGCUGGAGGCACGGGAUGCUUACUUGCCACUCGCACACAGGUCGCUGCUUGCGUGAUGUCCUAGAGUCUUUUGGAAACCUUCUAAGUAGUACAAGCUAGCUUAUAAUCCAAUAGACACACCCACACACACACAAAACCUACCACUACCUGUGUACAGCCAUGAGAUGGAUUCCAUUUUGUAUUUUAUUUUGCACAGGACCUUUUGAUGUUGCUGCAAGAAUUUUUAUGUUUCUGCAGUAUUCAUACGCUAAUUUUGUCCCUCAAGAUUCAUACGUUGAUUUUGUGCCUCAAGCAAUUGAUUGAACUGUGUGAUUGAGCUAUCAGGGUCAAUUUUACAUAGUAGGCCUCGAAAAAAUCAGGAUUUUCUUCUUCCAGUUUCUUUCAUAGUGCAUCCAAAAAAAAGUAAUAAUAAUAAUAAAUAAAUAAAAGCAAGUCUAAUGGGCCAAUUUUAUAACAUACUGCAUACAAGAAAACGUAAUAAUAAUAAUAAAUACAUAAAAGCAAGUAUAGUGGGCCAAUUUUAUAACAGUUUACAUUAAUCAAGUAUCUAUAAUUAGAAAACUCAAGUGGUCAAUCAAGAACAAAAUAUCAUGAAGAUCUUCAAGACACCAUCACUGCGACAAAGGAGGUGAUAACAGGUGAAAGAAAAUAUAUUGGGAAAAAAAAAUUGACUUUUAGUAUAAUUAAAACGAAUACCAUAUCAUGCUCUUUUGGGCAGGUACAGUUAGGGAAAUGGUUAUAACAUCUUUUUCCUUCCACAUGAUGCUGUGUGAUACAUUAUAAAAGUGUAAACAAAAUGUGGACAUGAAGCGGAGUAAAACGGGAUGAAGUAAAUGUAUGAUGGCUAGGAGCUUGAGAUUCUCAAAAAUGAAAAUGCAAACUAAGAACUAAAAGACUAGAAGAAAUGCACUUAAUAAUACUCAUAUCUUAUCAUUCCUCAUCAUUUGGUCAUAAAUAUUAAGUAUCCAAUACAUGAAACAACAUAUAAUUCAUAUUAUAGUAUUUAAAAAGAAAAUGAGUCACAGAGCAAAGAACACUUGAAUAAACACCUUUUUUUUUUUUCUUUUUUGAAUAAAACACUUGAAUAAACAUAUUUCAAUAUGAAAAUGAAAGGAACUAAAGAAAAACCAAGAUGCUAUGCACAUAAAAAAGGAGGGUUCAACUGUGAAAGAGAGCAUAGUAAAUGGAUUCGUCUGUAAAUACCUAGAUUUGUGAUUGAAGGCUUUAUUUUCUUCCUGUCAAAAAGGACCUUUUUGACCAUUUCUCUAUCCAUAUACUUUUGUAGACAGCACUCAAUUAGAUUAGAAACCUACAGUAGUCAUGUCAAAACAAUAAGGAAUAAUUCAAAAUUCUUUGAAUAUGAAAGGGAGCUAAAACCUAAAACUUAAAGAAAUAAAGAGCACUUCUUACAUGAUCAAUGCAUUGUAGGGCUGUUUCUUUAUGGUUGCAGAGUGACACUUGUGACCAAGAUUUCAUUUCCAUGAAUCCAAGGUGAGAUUCCUGCAAGGCAUAAUACCAAGAACAACUCAAUUAAAGACAUUAUUUUCAACAAAAGGUGCAUUCAACUCUCAUCAAAAGGUACAUUCAACUCAAUUAAAGAGAUUAUUCUCAACAAAAGAUGCAUUUAAAGGAUCAACUUUAAAUAAGACUUUUAACCAUGUAAACUAAGAGAUGACUUUCAUCGGUUUAUUCUAAUAAAUUAAUUGAAGACAGAACAUCAAGGAAAACUCACAAGUCAACAAGGCACCAGCUAAAAAAAAAUUCAAAACUGAAAUGCACUAUUGAGUCAUAAAUAAAGGCAUACACACAAUCUCAACAUCCCACAAAAUUUUACACAAUCUUAACAUUAUCUUUGAUAUUUCAGGAUAACAUGACAUUUAUAGUAAUCAUGGUCAUUGGAAGACCAAAACCUGUUUGAUUGACCAAAAUCUUUUUUCUUUUUUUUCUUAAGAAAUUGAUUGACCAAAAUCUUCUCACCCAAGAUUCAGAUGACUUCCCAUUAUCUAAAUCCCCAUAAAUGACAAUGAUCAUGUUAGGAAACCAAUCCUUCACGACAUUAUCAACCAGAUCCAAUUUAAUCCGAAUUUUGAUUUGGAGGUUUUGAUUUAAGGUAUCUGAGGAAGGUUUAA